UUUGCGGUGCGGAGCGGGCGAGCAAAGAGCGCAGAUGCCAGGCCCCACGUAGGUGCAGGCGGGUGGCAGGGCUGGGGCCAGGUGAGCGGGUGGAGAACCAGCGUUCCAGCAUGUGGGGCCCCCGCAGGGAUCCAGCAACUGACAACUGCAGGGACGGAGCUGAGCAGAGACAGAGAAAGAGAGAAGUGGGCAGAGAGGCAUGUGGGGUGCGGAGGAACUUCCCUGACACUCGCCAGAGCCCGGAUCCCCCUUCCCGUGCCAGGAUGCUGCUCCCUCUGCUGCUCCUCCCCUGGGCAUGGGGGAGCUUGGCCACCUCCCCUUCUCUCCCCACCCUCCGGCUGCUCCAAAUCCUCGUCUUCCACAACGCCAGCUCCACGGACAUGGAGGGGAUGGCCCUGCUGGGCGACCUGGAGACCCACUCCAUGGAUUGCAGCACCUGCGAGAUCCGCUGCCUGCAGCCCUGGGCCCAGCAGGGCCUGACCCCGAAGCAGUGGCAGGACCUGGAGCUGCUGAUCCAUCGCUACCUGUUCAACUUCAACCGUACUGUGAACAGAAUAGCUCAGCAGCACGGAAUGGGCUACCCCUUUGUUACCCAGGGCUCCCUCGGCUGCGAGCUGCACCCUAACGGCACCUCGAGGGGAUUCUAUGAUGCCGGAGUGAACGGCGAGGACUUCAUCAGCUUUGAUGCGGACGCAGGCACCUGGCUUGCUCGGCACGGGGACAAGCUGGCGCUCUACACCCAGGACCUUCUCAACCUGGAUAAGGGCACAGCCAUCACGCUUCAGUUUCUCAUGAGAACGACGUGUGUCAAUCAGAUCAAGAGCUUUGUCCAGCAUGGGAAAGAGUCUCUGGAGAGGCAAGAGCGGCUGGUCGCCGUGGUGUUUGCCCGAGCGCCUCCCCCAGCCGGGACCCCCGCGCCGUUACUGCUGGUUUGCCGGGUCACCGGUUUCUACCCCCGGCCCAUCCGCGUGGCCUGGCUGCAGGACGGGGAGGAGGUGGUGCCGGGCGGGCGGCUGAACUCCAGUGGGAUCCUGCCCAACGCGGACCUGACCUACCAGCUGCGCAGCUCCCUGGCCGUGGAGCCGGGCAACAGGCACAGCUACGCCUGCCGGGUGGAGCACAGCAGCCUGGGGGGCCAGAGCCUGCUGAUCCCCUGGGGGCAGAGCAGGCGGUGGGGCCCCGGCCUGGCCGUGGGCAUCACCCUGGGGGUUCUGGCCGUAGCUGCCGUGGCCGUGGUGCUGUGGAGGAGCAGAUGCAGGUUGCAGGAAAGAGCUCGUGGAUCCACCACAACUACGUCAAAGCAGCGACAGCGCCUCCCCAGGACCCGAGUGAUCCAGCGUACGAGCCAUUCUACGGAUGAAUAUUACAGCCAGCCCAUGGACCGAGCCUUCCAAUUACUGGGAUCUUCGCAGCCCACCAGGACUUCUUGUAUUUCUCUUUUGGACUCGUAUAUUGGGAAUGGGGGUUUUCGUAUGGUACCGGGGAGGAUGUCGUUAUUGGUAUGGCUGGCCUGGGGGUUCUUCCCCCUAUUCCCGAAUCCAGUACAAGGGUGGGCGGGUAAUAGUUUUUUGAAUUUGACUCGGGCUAUUACGCAAAAUAUAAAUCAAACACAAUGUUGGAUAUGUAUCCAUACCCCCACAUAUAUUAGUCAGGGAAUUCCAUUGGUGGGGGUCCCUAUCCCUACUAAUGGAACGCAUUUGUCUACAUUAUGGGCUAAUACUACCUUUCAUUGGAAUAUCACUAUUCAAACAUGGUCUAUCGACAUGGUGGCCCAGGGCAAUUAUGCAAUAUGUGUAAAACGCAGGUGGAGAAAUAGGAAUUUUAAAAAUGGGAAUUUUGUAGGAACUUUUAUGGGGUGCAACCGCACUAUAAAAAUUAGUUCUGGGGUGGCAACCGUUUCAAAUUAUUCAAGAGCCCCUUGGCCAGUCCCUGAAGGAUCAGGUUGAAAUUGGUUAUGUAACCACACAGCCUAUAAGGUUCUUCCAGUGGGAUGGUAUGGUACCUGCACCCUAGGAGCAAUAAUCCCUGCUGUAACAGUUUAUCAGAGUCUAACACAAAAAGAAAUUCGCAAUAUAGUAUGGAGGAAUCGGCAAAGUAUCCCUUUAAAUCCCCUCAUCGAGCGGCCCACGGGUUUUCAUUCCUUUGCACGCUGGUUUCUGCCAUGGUUAGAAGUAAGUGAGCUAGAAAAAGCUAUAGUUAAUAUUUCUGCUGCCUUAGAGCAGAUGGCCAACGCCACUGCGGAUGCUUUAUCUACCCUCCAAACCGAAGUCACACAAUUAUCUCAAACAACCUUGCAAAAUCGUUUAGCAUUAGAUUACCUCCUCGCUAACCAGGGUGGGGUAUGCGCUCUAGUUAACUCCAGCUGUUGUGUUUUCGUAAAUCAACACCAUAGGGUAGAGACUGACAUCCAUAUCCUCAAGCAACAGGCGACUUUAUUUCAUCACAUCAGUCUUGAUAAUACCAGUACUGGAUUUCAGGAAGUGUGAAAUUGGCUCACAUCAUGGAUGCCGGAUCUCGGGGUCUGGGGAAGGCGUGCUCUGUACAUAUUCAUAUGGGUUGCUGUUUUCUUUGCCGUGUUAUUUGUAUGCCUUCAAUGCUGUAAAAUGUGUUGUUUGCAGUUAUUAGUCCUUCAUCGUGGUUACUCAGCCCCUAUAUAGUGUUAACUGACGUACAAAAAAAAAAGUUGUUGAGGGGAAAGUUAAUAUGUGUAUUUUGCAGAGCUUAUUUUUGCAGAGCUGGCACCCUUUGGCUCCAGCCACUGUCUGUGCAGCACAGACGGCAGCAUAUUUGGGGAAUUGUUUCGGGCCUGGAAACUGUUGUCCUUCCUGUUUUGUGGUAUGUGAAGCACGUUGUGUAACAGCAUGUUCCGUUUUAAUGAUAAAGUUGUUGACGUGCUCAGAACACGAGAAAGCACUCGCCAGAGAGUGGCUAAGGAUGGGGUGGGGAUGAAAUUCAUUGGUUAGGGGUGCCGAUGCACAAGGGCAGCACGCGAUGUCAGAUGGUAUAUAAGCUUUGCAUAAACUGUAUACGGGGUCCCCUCCUGACUAGCGGGAGGGCACCACGCUCAAGCGUAAUGCAUUAAACAUUGACUAGAAACUCUGCAGAUGUGGACCUGGUUUUUGGUGCCUCAGCCUAAGACUUGGACUGUGCGUGACCGAUCAGGGGCUAUGAGGACGUUAGACCAGGGGAGUCCAGGGCCUGAGGGGGCGGCACCAGCCCAGGCGUGGGCAUUGGCCCCUCUCCUGGGGACAUGGACCUGUGCCAUGCUCUAAGCGAUUUGUCCUGA
Molecule: RNA transcript, 3286 nt
Organism: Dermochelys coriacea (leatherback sea turtle)
Lineage: Eukaryota; Metazoa; Chordata; Testudines; Dermochelyidae
Gene name: antigen-presenting glycoprotein CD1d-like
Exons: 7
Source: RefSeq, a predicted model, not a curated record